GGGUGUACAGCUCAGUGGUAGAGCAUGUGCUUAGCAUGCAUGAGGUCCUGGGUUCAAUCCCCAGUACUGCCA
This 72-nucleotide transfer RNA is filed under the name Camelus ferus (Wild Bactrian camel). It matches the Rfam family "tRNA". Rfam says of the family: Transfer RNA (tRNA) molecules are approximately 80 nucleotides in length. Their secondary structure includes four short double-helical elements and three loops (D, anti-codon, and T loops). Further hydrogen bonds mediate the characteristic L-shaped molecular structure. tRNAs have two regions of fundamental functional importance: the anti-codon, which is responsible for specific mRNA codon recognition, and the 3' end, to which the tRNAs corresponding amino acid is attached (by aminoacyl-tRNA synthetases). tRNAs cope with the degeneracy of the genetic code in two manners: having more than one tRNA (with a specific anti-codon) for a particular amino acid; and 'wobble' base-pairing, i.e. permitting non-standard base-pairing at the 3rd anti-codon position. Lineage: Eukaryota; Metazoa; Chordata; Mammalia; Artiodactyla; Camelidae. The record is from Rfam by way of RNAcentral.